RNAcentral lists this ribosomal RNA (254 nucleotides) under uncultured bacterium. Its description in RNAcentral is "partial 16S ribosomal RNA". It matches the Rfam family "Bacterial small subunit ribosomal RNA", at positions 524 to 776 of the family's 1533-position model. The record is from RNAcentral.
GACAGAGGGUGCAAACGUUGUUCGGAAUUACUGGGCGUAAAGCGCGUGUAGGCAGCUGUGCAAGUCGGGUGUGAAAGCCCUGGGCUCAACCUAGGAAGUGCACUCGAAACUGCAAAGCUGGAGUCCUGGAGAGGAAGGCGGAAUUCUCGGUGUAGAGGUGAAAUGCGUAGAUAUCUGGAGGAACACCGGUGGCGAAGGCGGCAUCCUGGACCACGACUGACGCUGAGUGAGCGAAAGCCAGGGGAGCAAACGGG